CAGGUGGUGCAUGGUUGUGUCAGUCGUGUCGUGAGAUGUUGGGUUAAGUCCCGCAACGAGCGCAACCCUUAUUGUUAGUUGCCAUCAUUCAGUUGGGCACUCUAGCAAGACUGCCGGUGACAAACCGGAGGAAGGUGGGGAUGACGUCAAAUCAUCAUGCCCCUUAUGACCUGGGCUACACACGUGCUACAAUGGGAAGUACAACGAGUUGCGAAGUCGCGAGGCUAAGCUAAUCUCUUAAAGCUUCUCUCAGUUCGGAUUGCAGGCUGCAACUUGCCUGCAUGAAGCCGGAAUCGCUAGUAAUCGCGGAUCAGCACGCCGCGGUGAAUACGUUCCCGGGCCUUGUACACACCGCCCGUCACACCACGAGAGUUUGUAACACCCGAAGUCGGUGAGGUAACCUUUUUGGAGCCUAGCCGCCUAAGGUGGGAUAGAUGAUGUGAGGGUGAAGUCGUAACAAGGUAGCCGAU
Molecule: ribosomal RNA, 470 nt
Filed under: Enterococcus lactis
Lineage: Bacteria; Bacillati; Bacillota; Bacilli; Lactobacillales; Enterococcaceae
Description: bacterial SSU rRNA
Rfam family: Bacterial small subunit ribosomal RNA
Source: RNAcentral